Molecule: unclassified non-coding RNA, 381 nt
Filed under: uncultured Oligoflexales bacterium
Lineage: Bacteria; Pseudomonadati; Bdellovibrionota; Oligoflexia; Oligoflexales
Description: contains 16S-23S intergenic spacer region
Source: RNAcentral
UCCAACUUAUCGCUGGCGGUCUCCUGAGAGUGCUUCCCUUACGGGAGUGGCAACACAGGACAAGGGUUGCGCUCGUUGCGGGACUUAACCCAACAUGUCACCACACGAGCUGACGACAGCCAUGCAGCACCUGUCUUCUGGUCGUAUUGCUACGAAAGACGUAUCUCUACGUUUGUCCAGAGAUGUCAAACCCAGGUAAGGUUCUUCGCGUUGCUUCGAAUUAAACCACAUGAUCCACCGCUUGUGCGGGCCCCCGUCAAUUCCUUUGAGUUUUAGUCUUGCGACCGUACUUCCCAGGCGGGGUACUUAGUGCGUUAGCGCCGGUUCAGCAGGGGUCAAGACCCGCCAAACCUAGUACCCAUCGUUUACAGCGUGGACUAC